UGCCUCAGCCUCCCAAGUAGCUGGGACUACAGGCGCCCGCCACCACGCCGGGCUAAUUUUUUGUAUUUUUAGUAGAGACGAGGUUUCAUCGUGUUAGCCAGCAUGGUCUCGAUCUCGGUGACCUGGUGAUCUGCCCACCUAGGCCUCCCAAAGUGCUGGGAUUACAGGCGUGAGCCACCACACCUGGCCAGCAGAUUGCAGUUUUAAGUAGGGCAGCCUGGGCAGGAAGCAACAUUGGGCCAAGACUAAAGGAGGUGAGGGACCUAGCCUGGCAGCAGUGAGGACAGGUCCUGGGUUUAUGAGCAGCAUCUCUCAGCCCCCCACCUGCCCAUUCAGGUUUGCCCUUGUUUGUGCCCUUAGGUCUCCUCGGGGCCCACAGGGCAUUGGGGAAAGCGUAGACUGCCAACAUACUUUACCCCAAAGCUCCUCCUCAUCCCCCCUUCACACUGCCACUGAAGCCCCUCACAGGCCACCAGUCGGAGUCCAGCAGCCUCCUCUGUCUCUUCAUCUUUUUCAGCUUCUGCAGCACUUGACCCUGACGCCCUUCUGCUCUUGGCCUGCACACCACUGUGCUCCACAGUCCUCUCACCUCUGCUUGCUGUGCUUCGUCCAUUUGCCCUUUAAACACAGGCUUUGCAGGCUGUCAUCAGCUUUUUCUCUUCCUGGGCCAUUUUUGUUGUUGUUGUUUUGAGAUGGAGUCUCACUCUGUCGCCCAGGCUGGAGUGCAGUGGCACGAUCUCAGCUCACUGCAACCUCCACCUUUGGGGUUCAAGCGAGUCUUCUACCUCAGCCUCCCAAGCAGCUGGCAUUACAGGCGCCCACCACCACGCCCAGCUAAUUUUUUGUAUUUUUAGUAGAGAUGGGGAUUCACCAUAUUGGCCAGGUUGGUCUUUGACUCUUGACCUCAAGUGAUCCACCCACCUCAGCCUCCCAAAGUGCUGGAAUUACAAGUGUGAGCCACUGUGCCUGGCCAUGGACAAUCUUAUUUUUAUUCCCUGACUCUAUUGCUACCUCUGAGCUGGUAUCUCAAUGUUUAUCUCCAAACCUGGCCUCUCUUGAGCCUCAGAACCGUGCCAUAUUUUCCAACUGCCUUUGUUUCAUUUCAUCAUGUGGCAUACUCAUGUGGCAUACUUAGCUAUUUAUGUCAUCUUUCCCAUGAGACUGGAAAUGCCUUGAAGACAGGUAUCGUAUUAUUUGUUUGGUUUGUGUUAUUGUUUUUUGUUUGUUUGUUUGGUUUGUUUUGACACAGAGUUUCACUCUUGUUGCCACAGCUGGAGUGCAAUGGCGUGAUCUCAGCUCACUGCAACCUCCACCUACUGGGUUCAAGUGAUUCUCCUGCCUCAGUCUCCCAAGUAGCUGGACUACAGGCAUGCGCCACCACGCCCAACCAUUUUUGUAUUUUUAGUAGAGAUGGGGGUUUCACCUUGUUGGCCAGGCUGGUCUCAAACUCCUGACCUCAGGUGGUCCGCCCACCUCGGCCUCUGAAAGGGUUGGGAUUCGAGGUGUGAGCCACCGCACCUGGCCUACCCUGUUUUAUUCAUUCUGGUGUCAUCCUGGAUUGGUCAUAUAACAAUGGCAAUUAUCAUAACAACCAGUAUUUUUUUUUUUUUUUUUUUGAGACAGAGUUUCACUCUUGUCACCCAGGCUGGAGUGCAAUGGCAUGAUCUUGGCUCACUGCAACCUCCGCCUCCCAGGUUCAAGCGAUUCUCCUGCUUCAGCCUCCCAAGUAGCUGGGAUUACAGGAAUGCACCACCAUGCCUGGCUAAUUUUUGUAUUUUUAGUAGAAAUGGGGU
Molecule: long non-coding RNA, 1793 nt
Filed under: Macaca fascicularis (crab-eating macaque)
Lineage: Eukaryota; Metazoa; Chordata; Mammalia; Primates; Cercopithecidae
Description: lncRNA (ENSMFAG00000051567.1)
Source: RNAcentral